Molecule: long non-coding RNA, 508 nt
Organism: Mytilus californianus (California mussel)
Lineage: Eukaryota; Metazoa; Mollusca; Bivalvia; Mytilida; Mytilidae
Exons: 3
Source: RefSeq, a predicted model, not a curated record
AAGGGGAAAGAACUCAUUAAUCUAAUGCAAACAUGGCGGCGAUCCGGGGAAGAUCUAGUUUUGUGUUUACAAAAAGAUUGUUUGUUCACUGUUGGUCACUUAAGUGGGAAAAACUGAUUGGAUAAAGAUAUUAAACAGUCUUUAUAGUACUGGUGAAAUAGGAGACUCAUCUGAUUGUGGAAGUUUGUGUAGUGGAAAGAAGGAGUUACAUACAGAUGCUGUUUUGAAUCAUAAGAAAUGACUGAUAUUAAUUCAUUUCUUCAAUUCCUCAUUAGCUUCUUCACAAGGAAUAAAUUGUGUAAGGAGUUCUAUAUUCCUAUUUAAAGACCUAACUUUUUUUUUCCAUUUGAGUGUAUGAAAGCAAAUUAAUUGAAUUCAUUCUGAAAACUAAGCUUAAAUAGUUUUAUGUACAUGUAUAUGUGACUUUAUCUUUACUUGACUUUUUAUUUAUAAGUUAUUUAAACAUUAAUAAUUUUAUUCUUUGUAUGAGAAGCUAUAAUCAAUCGAC